This 278-nucleotide long non-coding RNA is filed under the name Paramuricea clavata. Lineage: Eukaryota; Metazoa; Cnidaria; Anthozoa; Malacalcyonacea; Plexauridae. The record is from RNAcentral.
GUUCAUAUUUCAGGAAACAAUGAGCUAAGACUUACAUGUAAGAUGUCUAAAUCUACGCCAUAUCCCUUACAAACCUUAACGAUAAUUCGCUGAAAUACAAGUUAGCCUAAUAUGUCAUUAAGCAAACAAACGCUGGAGUUAAUAUUUGAUAUGCCGAUUUUCGCUAAUUUUAGACACAUUCCAAAAUAUGCUCCCCAUUUUUAACAUUAAUAUAUCCGCGAAUUUUUAAGUUAAAUACAACUGUAAUAUAUCAAAAUCUAAGUUAGUCCUUCCUCUAU